AUCACAUGCCGCGUGUGUGAAGAAGCCUUCGGGUUGUAAAGCACUUUUGGCGGGAACGAAAGGGCGCGUGCUAAUACCAUGCGUUGAUGACGGUACCCGCAGAAUAAGCACCGGCUAACUACGUGCCAGCAGCCGCGGUAAUACGUAGGGUGCGAGCGUUAAUCGGAAUUACUGGGCGUAAAGCGUGCGCAGGCGGUUUUGUAAGACGGAUGUGAAAUCCCCGGGCUCAACCUGGGAACUGCAUUCGUGACUGCAAGGCUAGAGUGCGUCAGAGGGAGGUGGAAUUCCGCGUGUAGCAGUGAAAUGCGUAGAUAUGCGGAGGAACAUCGAUGGCGAAGGCAGCCUCCUGGGAUGACACUGACGCUCAUGCACGAAAGCGUGGGGAGCAAACAGGAUUAGAUACCCUGGUAGUCCACGCCCUAAACGAUGUCGACUAGUUGUCGGGUCUUCAUUGACUUGGUAACGCAGCUAACGCGUGAAGUUGACCGCCUGGGGAGUACGGCCGCAAGGUUAAAACUCAAAGGAAUUGACGGGGACCCGCACAAGCGGUGGAUGAUGUGGAUUAAUUCGAUGCAACGCGAAAAACCUUACCUACGUUUGACAUGUCAGGAACCUUGAAGAGAUUUGAGGGUGGCCGAAAGGGAGCCUGAACACAGGUGCUGC
Molecule: ribosomal RNA, 663 nt
Filed under: uncultured bacterium
Lineage: Bacteria
Description: bacterial SSU rRNA
Rfam family: Bacterial small subunit ribosomal RNA
Source: RNAcentral